RNAcentral lists this ribosomal RNA (245 nucleotides) under Rhexodenticula acaciae. Its description in RNAcentral is "partial large subunit ribosomal RNA". It matches the Rfam family "Eukaryotic large subunit ribosomal RNA", at positions 398 to 664 of the family's 3401-position model. The record is from RNAcentral. Lineage: Eukaryota; Fungi; Ascomycota; Sordariomycetes.
CGUGAAAUUGUUGAAAGGGAAGCGCUUGUGACCAGACUUGUGCCCGGCGGAUCAACCAGCGUUCUCGCUUGUGCACUCCUCCGGGCUCAUGCCAGCAUCGGUUUUCAUAGGGGGAUAAAAGCCUUGGGAAUGUGGCUCCUCCGGGAGUGUUAUAACCCAGGGUAUAAUACCCCUAAGGAGACCGAGGUUCGCGCUCUGCAAGGAUGCUGGCUUAAUGGUCAUCAGCGACCCGUCUUGAAACACGG